This 314-nucleotide long non-coding RNA is filed under the name Mytilus galloprovincialis (Mediterranean mussel). Lineage: Eukaryota; Metazoa; Mollusca; Bivalvia; Mytilida; Mytilidae. The record is from RNAcentral.
AAUUCACUGUGCUUAAACGGCUGUGGGUAACUUAAGUUACCCACAGCCCAAGAUGGCGGACUCUAAACUCGUUGAUUAUUUAAUUCAUACAAAAUGUACCUUUUGCGACGUUUUUCUUGCAGAAUGUAAAUAUUUAUAGGUUAAUUGAAUAAAGAAAUAACUAAAAAUUACCAUAAAUUUGUUAAAAUAGAGUUCACUUAAGCGCAAGGCCAACUUUUAAAAAAUGCAUAAGACGUCCGUAACUUUUUGAUCGAAACUAAGCAGACUGUCCGUAACUUUAUUUUCAGAUGUGGGUAACUUUUGAUUAAAAUUUU